RNAcentral lists this ribosomal RNA (254 nucleotides) under uncultured bacterium. Its description in RNAcentral is "partial 16S ribosomal RNA". It matches the Rfam family "Bacterial small subunit ribosomal RNA", at positions 524 to 776 of the family's 1533-position model. The record is from RNAcentral.
GACGUAGGGUGCGAGCGUUGUCCGGAUUUAUUGGGCGUAAAGAGCUCGUAGGCGGCUUGUCGCGUCGACUGUGAAAACCCGUGGCUCAACCAUGUGGUCUGCAGUCGAUACGGGCAGGCUAGAAUUCGGUAGGGGAGACUGGAAUUCCUGGUGUAGCGGUGAAAUGCGCAGAUAUCAGGAGGAACACCGGUGGCGAAGGCGGCAUCCUGGACCGGUAUUGACGCUGAGGCGCGAAAGCCAGGGGAGCAAACGGG